Molecule: ribosomal RNA, 465 nt
Filed under: Vreelandella stevensii
Lineage: Bacteria; Pseudomonadati; Pseudomonadota; Gammaproteobacteria; Oceanospirillales; Halomonadaceae
Description: partial 16S ribosomal RNA
Rfam family: Bacterial small subunit ribosomal RNA
Source: RNAcentral
CCUACGGGUGGCAGCAGUGGGGAAUAUUGGACAAUGGGCGAAAGCCUGAUCCAGCCAUGCCGCGUGUGUGAAGAAGGCCUUCGGGUUGUAAAGCACUUUCAGUGGGGAAGAAAGCCUUGGGGCUAAUACCCUCGAGGAAGGACAUCACCCACAGAAGAAGCACCGGCUAACUCCGUGCCAGCAGCCGCGGUAAUACGGAGGGUGCGAGCGUUAAUCGGAAUUACUGGGCGUAAAGCGCGCGUAGGCGGUCUGAUAAGCCGGUUGUGAAAGCCCCGGGCUCAACCUGGGAACGGCAUCCGGAACUGGCAGGCUAGAGUGCAGGAGAGGAAGGUAGAAUUCCCGGUGUAGCGGUGAAAUGCGUAGAGAUCGGGAGGAAUACCAGUGGCGAAGGCGGCCUUCUGGACUGACACUGACGCUGAGGUGCGAAAGCGUGGGUAGCAAACAGGAUUAGAUACCCGGGUAGUC